RNAcentral lists this long non-coding RNA (2063 nucleotides) under Daphnia pulex (common water flea). RNAcentral describes it as "uncharacterized LOC124208731, transcript variant X2". Lineage: Eukaryota; Metazoa; Arthropoda; Branchiopoda; Diplostraca; Daphniidae. The record is from RNAcentral.
UCCCAUCGUGAUCGUGUGCUGUCUGCUGAGGACUGAGGUCUUAAAUUUUUCUAUUUGUUCAACUAAUUACGUUGAAUACGUAAUUUGCUUUGGCUUUGGCUUGGUGUUAACUUGUUUUUGACUCUUGAAUGCCUUGUGAUGCAUCUCGGUUUAAUUGAUUUGAAAAUGUGAUCUGAAAAUAACUUUAGCUAGCAGCACACAAGAAGGGGAGGUUAGAUGGAACACGUGAAUGAUUUGAAGUUUAGUGUUCCAUUAGAAGCAGGGGACAAUUUGAAUCUACCCACGUGAUUUCCAGCCCACAAGUCCGCCACACCUUGGCGGACUUGUUUAUCAUCAAAAUGUAUUCCUGGCGACUAGCGGAAAACGGAUGUAUGUGGUUUAGCAACAUGCAUGAAAAUAUUUGGUAUAUGACAAGAGAAAAACUUGAUGCGAAGGAAAAAGGUUGUUUAGCUGCUCUUCUGAAGACAGUUGAAGGAAUUGUGUGAAGAAGAUUGCGAUGUUGGCCACCUUUUAUACCUGGCAGUUGCGGCUGAGUGAAAGUGAUCGGCAAAGACCUUCCACAGUUUUCCGGCGUCAAUUUAGGAACAGCAAAUCUGGAGACUAUGGCCCAGAUGCGGUCAUUUUGCGAGAUUCGACAGAGACCAUCAACGGGACUCCGGUUUGCCGAUUAUGAAUUUCAAAUACCUGGCUAAAUAUAUCCACCAUAAUAGUGAGUCGUCUCAUCCAUGGCGAAUUGAACGACAUUUAAUCUGGCAAGUUCAGUAAUGAGAUGCCCAGGCAGCAAGUGACUAUUCAAAUGCUUCAGAGGUGGAGGUAUUUAAACAUCCCAAUCAACAAUAACAAAAGUGACCUAGAGCUAUUUUUUCCUCUUUUGCCAUCAACUGCAUCCUCUUUAAACCAAAUGAGCGAAACCACUGAAUAAGAAACUUAUUCUUCAACCAAAAAAUCUGUGACAAUGUUAUCGUAAAUUUCCGUGACACGCACUCCAUGCAGAUAUUAUUUCCCGCUCGCUCAAUUCACACAGUAGCGCUUAACGUAUGGAAAUAAAAGCUGCCACAAAUGUUGCAGAAAGAAAAUUGAAGACAACAAUGUGGAGUCUACAAUCUACAUGUUGCUUAAUGCUUACAUGUAAAUGUCGGGUCUUAAAAAACCUCUUGUCACCAGAUGGCGAUAAAUAAAGGAGCCGCCAGGCGUCGUAGGCCGAACGUCGAGCGUGAUGAAGCCGCCAUCAGCUGAUCAGCCCACAGUUGUACGUGACGUGACGUUGAACUUGAGCAAACUAGUGAGAUACAGUCUACGUUAUGUCACUGUCAGCCAGGUUAAGUUGAAGCUGUUUGCUGUUCCCGUUCAAUGCAGAACAUUUUGACGUGCCACCUUGCUACCAGCUAACUGCACAAAUUUUCCAUCUUUUGGAUAUGACAUCAUUUGCUUAUGGUGUUGCAAUCCAAUGUGCUGAUGCUGUUUCCUGCCUGUUACCUGGUUUAAGGAUUUCUUGAACAAAAGAGUUCAAUUGGCGAAACUGUUUCAAGAAAUCAAGUUCAGCCAUCAGCACAUGGUCACAUUUAUCUAGUAAUUGAAGGCACUUGCUACCAUAAAUCCUCGCAAACUUUAAUUCUUUAAUAACAUUUUUUUUUCAGGUUACUCAGCCAGGCUAAGUUGAAGUUGUUUGCUGUUGCUGCUAAUGCAGACGAACAUUUUGUCUUGCUAACUGGGUUUUCAACUGUUGGUUGAUGCCUGAGCUAUGCAUAAAAUUGCUUAUGGACUUAUGGUGUUGCAGUCCAAUGUGCUGAUGGUGUUUCCUACAAGUCACCUGGUUUAAGGAGUACUGGAACAAACAAACAAGCGUCGAUGAUUGUUUUCUAUUUUUGUUUAUUUUCUCAAUUUGUGUGAUCUGUCAUUUUGCAAUUUUUUCGCAAUAUUUUCUAAGUGUUGCUUGGAAUCGGAAAAGGUUGUCACGUGCUGACUUCAAAUAAGCUCAUAUGAAGCAUUUUUGAGUACGUAGAAAGUUGUAGAACAUUGUGAGGAAAUUUAUCGAUAAGCUUUAAAUCAAUUUGAGAAACUAA